UUUUUAUUUUGAGAUGGAGGGAGUAUAAUAAAUAAGAGUUAUGCAUAAUAACAACACGAAAGUAAGACGCCUUCUAGCACGUGAAUUGCCCUUCACAGUGUGAAACUUUCCUGGACCAUUGGACGAAGUAGUCUGUAAGGUAUAUUGGAGAUUCAGUGGAAGGGAGUGCACCAUAUCGCCAUUAAUCUUCUUAAAAUAAUCAUUUUGAAAAUUGGACUACAGGCACAGUAGAGGUCCAAAUUUGCCCCUUUGGCCCCACCUUUCCCACGACUGCUUUCCACUUUCAAUUUCCCCUUCUCCUUCUCGAACCCUAAUUCUUCCUCCUCGCCACCAUGGCCAACCAACGCAACCUCUGACCUCAGCAAACUGCAAGUCUUCGCAGUAGCUUUAGUCGUCCGGGUUUCAUUCCCUAUUUGAUGACAGAUAUUUGGCUCAAAUCUGAUUUCCAUGGCUCCUACCUUUUGAUCUGAUUUUUAAUAUUUUUUCAAUUGAAAAAAUCAUCUCGUUCUUGGAUCUAAUUGUUAAACUUUGAUUGUUAAAUCAUAGUUAUUCUAGGUUGUUUUCUAACGUAGCCAACGGAAUCGAGGUGGUUUGCGGUGUCAUACGGACGGUGGGUUGCUGGUGUUGUAUGGCAACGUGAAGGGCUGCCGCCAUAAAUAGUGAAGUAGAAGAAGCAAGAGACGGGGUCUGGAACAAAGGGGGUAAAGACGAAGAAAAGGAAAAAAGGUAAAGUGUAAUCCGCUGCCGUUACUCCAAAAGAAUCUACACCUUCCGAUUCAAGACUCCUAUAUCCAACGGUUCAUGAAAAUUAGGCACGGUGCAAGACGUACACGACUCUCUCAUGCUAGAAGGCGUCCAAAGUUUGGGUUCCACAUUGUGACGUGCCUACAAUUCCACCAACUCACUCUGACUAGCCACCCUCCAUCCCAACAGAUCUUGCAAGCCACCAAAGCCCUAAAGCCAACUUAGAGAUUCUUUUUCUGGUUUAGUGGUCUCAACAAACCCACUACACUACGCAACCCAUGUCGGCCACAAUUGGGUUGGACCCUCCGGGACCCAUAUACCUUUUUCUGCUUCAACCUCAUCUAGUUUGGUUAUCGUCCAUUUCUGGCAGGUAAACUAAGCACAUCUUAUGCUCAUAACUUCAAUUACCUGAUAGUCUUGCACACUCGCAAGACAACAAUAACAAAUUUUGUCACCCAGUGUAACUAUUUUCCAUAUUGUUAACCUAAAAAAUUAAAAUAAUACCCCAAGAUUUGACUAGAAAAUAACGUAGCUGAGAGUAAUCCCCUCAAUCCUGUCAUGCUGACAUUGAUGUGAGUGUAAUUAAAAUACUUGAGAAAUUAAAAUUAUUCUUUUUUUGUAUUGCAUGAUUCUUUCAAAAUACCAAGGUGCUUUCACUAGUUAUAAAAGUUACAUCAUAUUUUUUUCUGAAGUAAUGUAUAUAUAUUUAUUUAUGAUUUAAAUAUAUUUUAAGUUUCUAAUAAAUGAUUAAUUUUUAUUUUGAGUUUCUAAUAUUUUUUUUAUUGUAUUAUAUUUUUGUUAUAUUAAAAUUUCUAUUUUAAAUUUAUUUUAUCAGCUAAAUUAUACUUACACCUUAAAUACAUAGGUUAAAUUUUAAAACAUAAAAGAUAAGAUAUUUGAUGAAAUUCUUGGGGUGGACUAUAUACAGAGUUUGUAACAUAUAAAUUUGUACUGCACAGCAUUUUUUAAAUUUUUUAUCACGCCUUUUUUUUUUGCGGGUUGGACAGACCCAAGCUCAACCUGUCCCUAUUAUCAUGUCUAUAUAUAAUAUGUAUUUUUGUUUUAUUUUAUUUAUAAAAUCAUUUUAUAAAAUAAUUUUUAAAAGCUGUUAUUUAAAAUAAUAAAAAAAUAUGAUUUUGAUAUAAUUUUAAAAGGAUAAAUAGGAGGAAAAAAUAGAUUUAUAAGUAUGUUUUAAGUUGUUACGAUUUUUUGUUUUGUAAAACCGAAAAUGAAAACAAAUUUUAUAAACAGAAAGCAAAAUCCUCUAAAGUGAGACGAGUACUAAUACAUAACUCUUGUUUUAAUUUUAUUUCUUCUAGGUUUAGAAAUACCGACGAUGCUAAAAUCAGUUCAUACCACAAUCGCAG
Molecule: long non-coding RNA, 2111 nt
Filed under: Glycine max (soybean)
Lineage: Eukaryota; Viridiplantae; Streptophyta; Magnoliopsida; Fabales; Fabaceae
Description: long non-coding RNA (GMAX_LNC003359)
Source: RNAcentral